GACAGAGGGUGCAAACGUUGUUCGGAAUUACUGGGCGUAAGGCGCGUGUAGGCGGCUAUGUAAGUCGGGCGUGAAAUCCCACGGCUCAACCGUGGAAGUGCACCCGAAACUGCGUAGCUAGAGUCCUGGAGAGGAAGGUGGAAUGCUUGGUGUAGAGGUGAAAUUCGUAGAUAUCAAGCGGAACACCGGUGGCGAAGGCGGCCUUCUGGACAGUGACUGACGCUGAGACGCGAAAGCGUGGGGAGCAAACAGG
RNAcentral lists this ribosomal RNA (253 nucleotides) under uncultured bacterium. RNAcentral describes it as "partial 16S ribosomal RNA". It matches the Rfam family "Bacterial small subunit ribosomal RNA", at positions 524 to 776 of the family's 1533-position model. The record is from RNAcentral.